UGAGUGGCGGACGGGUGAGUAACACGUGGGUAACCUACCCUUAAGUGGGGGAUAACAUUUGGAAACAGAUGCUAAUACCGCAUAACCAUUCAGACCACAUGGUCUGAAUGUAAAAGACGGCCUUUGGCUGUCACUUUUGGACGGACCCGCGGCGUAUUAGUUAGUUGGUAAGGUAACGGCUUACCAAGACAAUGAUACGUAGCCGACCUGAGAGGGUAAUCGGCCACAUUGGGACUGAGACACGGCCCAAACUCCUACGGGAGGCAGCAGUAGGGAAUCUUCCACAAUGGACGAAAGUCUGAUGGAGCAACGCCGCGUGAGUGAAGAAGGUUUUAGGAUCGUAAAACUCUGUUGUUGGAGAAGAACAGGGACUAGAGUAACUGUUAGUCCUUUGACGGUAUCCAACCAGAAAGCCACGGCUAACUACGUGCCAGCAGCCGCGGUAAUACGUAGGUGGCAAGCGUUGUCCGGAUUUAUUGGGCGUAAAGCGAGCGCAGGCG
Molecule: ribosomal RNA, 500 nt
Filed under: Loigolactobacillus coryniformis
Lineage: Bacteria; Bacillati; Bacillota; Bacilli; Lactobacillales; Lactobacillaceae
Description: bacterial SSU rRNA
Rfam family: Bacterial small subunit ribosomal RNA
Source: RNAcentral